GAUCCUGGCUCAGGACGAACGCUGGCGGCGUGCCUAAUACAUGCAAGUAGAACGCUGAAGGAGGAGCUUGCUCUUCUGGAUGAGUUGCGAACGGGUGAGUAACGCGUAGGUAACCUGCCUGGUAGCGGGGGAUAACUAUUGGAAACGAUAGCUAAUACCGCAUAAUAGUAGUUGUUGCAUGACAACUGUUUGAAAGGUGCAAUUGCAUCACUACCAGAUGGACCUGCGUUG
Molecule: ribosomal RNA, 231 nt
Filed under: uncultured bacterium
Lineage: Bacteria
Description: partial 16S ribosomal RNA
Rfam family: Bacterial small subunit ribosomal RNA
Source: RNAcentral